CCCUUAGAUGUCCGGGGCUGCACGCGCGCUACACUGAAGGAAUCAGCGUGCUAGAAAACCUUGUUUGACAUGGCUAGGUAACCCGUUGAAAAUCUUUCGUGAUUGGGAUCGGGACUUGCAAAUGUGUCCCUUGAACGAGGAAUUCCCAGUAAGUGCGGGUCAUAAGCUCGCGCUGAUUACGUCCCUGCCCUUUGUACACACCGCCCGUCGCUGCCCGGAACUGAGCCGUUUCGAGAAGACUGGGGACUGCGAACUUUGGGCUGGAAAACAGCUUUUUGUUUGUGGAAACAACUUUAAUCGCAGCGGCUUGAACCGGGCAAAAGUCGUAACA
This 331-nucleotide ribosomal RNA is filed under the name uncultured eukaryote. RNAcentral describes it as "partial 18S ribosomal RNA". It matches the Rfam family "Eukaryotic small subunit ribosomal RNA", at positions 1470 to 1796 of the family's 1831-position model. The record is from RNAcentral.